Molecule: ribosomal RNA, 426 nt
Filed under: uncultured bacterium
Lineage: Bacteria
Description: bacterial SSU rRNA
Rfam family: Bacterial small subunit ribosomal RNA
Source: RNAcentral
UGGGGAAUUUUGGACAAUGGGCGCAAGCCUGAUCCAGCCAUGCCGCGUGCGGGAAGAAGGCCUUCGGGUUGUAAACCGCUUUUGUUCGGGAAGAAAUCCCUUGGGAUAAUACCUUGAGGGGAUGACGGUACCGGAAGAAUAAGCACCGGCUAACUACGUGCCAGCAGCCGCGGUAAUACGUAGGGUGCAAGCGUUAAUCGGAAUUACUGGGCGUAAAGCGUGCGCAGGCGGUUGUGCAAGACAGAUGUGAAAUCCCCGGGCUUAACCUGGGAACUGCAUUUGUGACUGCACGGCUAGAGUGCGGCAGAGGGGGAUGGAAUUCCGCGUGUAGCAGUGAAAUGCGUAGAUAUGCGGAGGAACACCGAUGGCGAAGGCAAUCCCCUGGGCCUGCACUGACGCUCAUGCACGAAAGCGUGGGGAGCAAAC